Molecule: long non-coding RNA, 1679 nt
Organism: Chrysemys picta bellii (western painted turtle)
Lineage: Eukaryota; Metazoa; Chordata; Testudines; Emydidae
Source: RefSeq, a predicted model, not a curated record
UACUGACGAAACAUUCAGCUCUAACCGAAGAUGUAAAACAGUGAGCACUCCCGGUAAUGAAUAAUCCCAGUAACUGCAUCCAUAAGUGCUGUCUCAACUUGGCAGCGGACAGGUAUGUGAGAAAAAGACCCCAAAAUGCAAGGCAGAUUCCGAACAACAUGGGCUCGAUCUCCUCAGCAUGACACACAUCUUUGCUCCUUUUGACAGGUUUACCCAAGAUCAGAACUAAGCGGCACCUAUAGACUGCUUCAGCUCUAGUUCCCCUUUUCAAGUCUGCCAAGAAAGCUCUACUGGGUCUGCUUGCAUAUGCAGAUGGGAUGACUCAGCCUGCAGGAGAGAAGAGCAACAGUGGGUUCAAAUGUGCCUGAAUGCAGGAAAAUCCCAGAGAGAAGUUCCACAGAGUCAGCACUCUUGCAGAUGUCACGUGCUAAUGAGUCUAAGGACGUUUGUUAUAUUGCUGCUAUGGAAUUAUGAUGAUAAUGAUAUAAAUAGAUGAUGAUGAGCUAUCAGGGGUCUGUUGUUCUUGGUCUGGUGCUGCAUUAGCAGACGGCCAAGGACAGGGAUUAAGCCCACAGCCAAUGAUAGCUAUUCUACAGCCUCCAUGGACAGUUUUGUUACAUUGCUGGUACCAUUUCCACAGCUAAAGUUUGUUUUUUUCUUGUAGCUAACCUGAAUUUCGCUGCUCUCCCAACUCCAUCAUCUGUAUCAACCAGGUGUCAUUUCCAUCACACACUAGGAUAUGCAAGGUGUCACAGGGCCUCAGCAAUGCCAAAAAAUAGUCCAGAGUAAUUACACCAUUUCAGGCAGCCAGACAGGCUGAGAUCUCACGUACAGCCAGAUACCCUCUAAACUGUUUGGUCUCUCUAGUAGCAGAUUUAGGACUCUAGUGCUGUGUAGUGACCUACAUCAUAAACAAUAUGACCACAAAGAGAAGCUAUUUAGAGCUAAAUGAAUGGCCUAAAAACGGGAAGAUUUGGGGGAUUACCAGAUAUCUGAGGCUGGAUUUAGGUCCUAAUCCUAAAUAUUUGUCUGAUUUUCUGCACUAAAAUGAGAUUUGUGUGUGCUAGAAGUUUGUACCCCCUGCACUCAUACACAAAGGAAUGUCCAUAAUCAAAGCCCUGAGGACAACCCCCUCCUUUACCCUCCGUUUUCCUGCCUACCCCACUCUCAAAGUCACAGUCACCCCUUUCACCACCACCACCACAAUUAAAGGGGGCUGUUUCCAAAAGCUGGAGGCCCAAUCAUCCUUGUUCUGAGUACCACUUGCUCCUCCAAUCAAAUUACAGCGGAACUUCUAGUCUGGGCCCAAUACCAGGUAGUUAAGAGAUGCAAAUAGCAAGGUUUGCGCCCACAAUUUAGAUGUGGAUACAGACUGUGAUGGCAAGAGGGAGACUCCCUUCCUUCUUAAAGACCUGGCCCUCAAAGAUUUAAUGGUUUCUUUCAACUGAAGAAGCCUUUUGGAAGAGAUACCCUUGUCUUAUGACUGCAGAGGUGGUAACAGGUCACUCUAGCUGGAAUGGUUCCUUACAAUAUAUGUGCUAACUACUCAUACUAAACAAUCUUUUCCACCUUGCAUUUUGCUAUGAGGCUGGGAGUUCCCUUCCCAGACCUGAAGAAGAGCUCUGUCUGGCUCAAAAGCUUGUCUCUUUCACCGACAGAAGUUGGUUCAAUAAAAGUUA